AAGUAUGUAGCCACCCUGGGCGUGGAGGU
This 29-nucleotide non-coding RNA is filed under the name Cricetulus griseus (Chinese hamster). Lineage: Eukaryota; Metazoa; Chordata; Mammalia; Rodentia; Cricetidae. RNAcentral also lists the same sequence under 1 other name. The record is from RNAcentral.